RNAcentral lists this ribosomal RNA (497 nucleotides) under uncultured bacterium. Its description in RNAcentral is "partial 16S ribosomal RNA". It matches the Rfam family "Bacterial small subunit ribosomal RNA", at positions 28 to 507 of the family's 1533-position model. The record is from RNAcentral.
GAUGAACGCUGGCGGCGUGCCUAAUACAUGCAAGUCGAGCGAACAGACGAGGAGCUUGCUCCUCUGACGUUAGCGGCGGACGGGUGAGUAACACGUGGAUAACCUAACUAUAAGACUGGGAUAACUUCGGGAAACCGGAGCUAAUACCGGAGAAUAUAUUAAACCGCAUGGUUCAAUAGUGAAAGACGGUUUUGCUGUCACUUAUAGAUGGAUCCGCUCCGCAUUAGCUAGUUGGUAAGGUAACGGCUUACCAAGGCGACUAUGGUUAGCCGACCUGAGAGGGACGAUGAGUAGCCGGGCAGUGAGACACGUCCCAGACACUUACGGGGGGCAGCAGUAGGGACUCCUACGCAAUGGGCGAAUGCGGGAUGUUGCACAGUCGCGGGAGUGAUGAUGGUCCUAUGACGGGUAAGCGCUGUUAUUAUGGAAGAAGAAAUGUGUAAGUAACUAUGAACGUAUUGACGGUACCGAAGGAGAAAGCCACGGCUAACUACGUG